GACUUGCAACACAAUGGAGAACCAACUAUACAGAAGACCAACCUUCAGUGAACUGGCUUGAUACUUGACGGAGUGAUCCCAGUGAUGAAGCCCAACAAUCGACAUACUCCAAUGGUGGUGUCUCAGAGUCCAGCUCCAUUGCUACUGCAUAAUG
This is a long non-coding RNA of Branchiostoma belcheri (Belcher's lancelet), 154 nucleotides long. RefSeq lists it as uncharacterized. NCBI's taxonomy places the organism in Eukaryota, Metazoa, Chordata, Leptocardii, Amphioxiformes, Branchiostomatidae. The transcript is spliced from 3 exons. The record is from RefSeq and is a predicted model, not a curated record.